CUGUUUUGAGUCCCUUUUUUAUUUUAAGCCUGUUUGUUUUAGGCUUUCUUUUUACAAAUAUUACCUGUUACUACUACUACAAACAGACAAAAUCAGUGUCGGUAGCAGCAAGACAACAGAUGAAGGUCCCAUAAAAAACAUGGGCAUCUUCCUUUUCUGUCAGCAUAUGGGUAUCUUCUGUCACCACAUGGGCAUCUUCCUUUUCUGUCACCACCUAAUCAUGGCAGACAACACCACAUGGGUUCACAUGGGUACUGAUGGAAUUUCCAAGCUCUUCCAACCAGGCAUUUUGACUUCUUCCAUGCCAACUCGUCUAUAAAAGGGGACUCCAAAUUCUUCAGAAGGCAGACUAUCAUUUUUC
RNAcentral lists this long non-coding RNA (361 nucleotides) under Populus tremula. RNAcentral's name for it is "long non-coding RNA (PTRE_LNC000135)". The record is from RNAcentral. Lineage: Eukaryota; Viridiplantae; Streptophyta; Magnoliopsida; Malpighiales; Salicaceae.